RNAcentral lists this transfer RNA (69 nucleotides) under Marmota monax (woodchuck). It matches the Rfam family "tRNA". Rfam says of the family: Transfer RNA (tRNA) molecules are approximately 80 nucleotides in length. Lineage: Eukaryota; Metazoa; Chordata; Mammalia; Rodentia; Sciuridae. The record is from Rfam by way of RNAcentral.
GGGGAUAUAGCUCAGUUGGUAGAGGGCCUCACAUGUACAAGGCCCUGGGUUCAAUCCCCAGUACCACCA